Long non-coding RNA from Oncorhynchus tshawytscha (Chinook salmon), 1061 nucleotides. RefSeq lists it as uncharacterized. Lineage: Eukaryota; Metazoa; Chordata; Actinopteri; Salmoniformes; Salmonidae. The record is from RefSeq and is a predicted model, not a curated record. The transcript is spliced from 2 exons.
GAAAAACAAGUUUUAAUGACUCCAACCUAAGUGUAUGUAAACUUCUGACUUCAACUGUAGGUCUUCUCAUCUUCACAUCUGCUUUUAUUCAUCUGUUGUGUAUUUGUGCAGAGAAUUUUGAGCACAUAUGGCAGAAGACAUUGACAGUGCUGAACCCUGUGAUCCCAGCAGAUGGCAGCAUCAUGAAUGAGACCGACCUGACCCUAUUCUGUUCUGUAUCGCUCUGGGUGUCACUUUACUCAUGGUGAAGAACCUCCCCAGCAGCUUAUGUCCAAGUGUGUGUGUGUGUGUUGCAUGUUUUCACAGCCCAAGUCAUCAUGAUUUACUAUUCAGAUAAAAAAUACUUGUAGCUUUGCUGUAUGUAACUGUGCAUGUAUUGUACUGAAAAUGUACUGUAACAAAAUGUAUUUACUCUUUAUAUAGGCAGGCAAAUCCCACUUUGGCUAUGUCUAUGGGAUCAGUACCAUCGGCUGUAUGAUGAUCUACACCCUGUUGACCCUGAUGGGUUCCCUGACUGUGUCCUAUGGCUGUGUAGCCAGCGUGCUGGGCUACCGCCUCCACCCCACUGUGGCACUAUCUGCAUUUGCAGUCGUCUUUCCCCGACAGCGAGUAGGCCUUUCCAGUCCAAAAACAAUUAAAAGAGGGAUCGACCCUGGCCUUGCUGGUGAUUGGCUGGUGCAGUCUCUCAGCUUCCAAGAUCUUCAUCUCCACCCUGGCUAUGGAGGGUCAGCAGCUGUUGGUAGCGUACCCCUGUGCCCUGCUCUAUGGAGUCUGUGCCUUGCUAACAGUGUUCUGAAGGCCACUACUGUCACUGACUGUCAACAGAGAUCCAAUUUCUGAAGGACUACAUUGGGCAAUACAUGCCUGGUAUGGGUGUCAGUCUGGUAUUGAGUUAUAGUUAUAUAUGGAGUUGUGUUUGUUGAAUUCCUAUAUUUAAAAAAAAAAAUGAGGCUCAGUUUUUCCAUAGGAUUUACUUUACAUUGUGAAAAAUGUAAUCUGGGUGUGUAAUUGGUUGACAUUUGUGCAUUGGAAUGUGCCAAUAAAUGGAAUUUGAAAUGUUA